CAGGGCGUCCGAGUUGUAAUCUAUAGAGGCGUUUUCCGUGCCGGACCGUGUCCAAGUCCCUUGGAACAGGGUAUCAAAGAGGGUGACAAUCCCGUACUUGACACGACUACCGGUGCUCUGUGAUACGUCUUCUACGAGUCGAGUUGUUUGGGAAUGCAGCUCAAAAUGGGUGGUGAGUUCCAUCUAAAGCUAAAUAUUGGCGAGAGACCGAUAGCGAACAAGUACCGUGAGGGAAAGAUGAAAAGCACUUUGGAAAGAGAGUUAAACAGUACGUGAAAUUGUUGAAAGGGAAACGAUUGAAGUCAGUCGUGACCGAGAGGCUCAGCCGGCUCUGCCGGUGUAUUCCCCUCGGUCGGGUCAACAUCAGUUUUGUCCGGUGGAUAAGGGCGGCAGGAAUGUGGCACCCUCGGGUGUGUUAUAGCCUGCUGUCGCAUACACCGGGUGAGACUGAGGAACGCAGCUCGCCUUUAUGGCCGGGGCCCGCCCACGUACGAGCUUAGGAUGUUGACGUAAUGGCUUUAAACGACCCGU
RNAcentral lists this ribosomal RNA (531 nucleotides) under Papiliotrema aspenensis. RNAcentral's name for it is "partial large subunit ribosomal RNA". It matches the Rfam family "Eukaryotic large subunit ribosomal RNA", at positions 130 to 652 of the family's 3401-position model. The record is from RNAcentral. Lineage: Eukaryota; Fungi; Basidiomycota; Tremellomycetes; Tremellales; Rhynchogastremaceae.